Non-coding RNA from Ixodes scapularis (black-legged tick), 73 nucleotides. Lineage: Eukaryota; Metazoa; Arthropoda; Arachnida; Ixodida; Ixodidae. The record is from Rfam.
UCCUCGUUAGCUCAGUUGGUAGAGCGCUCCACUGGAAAUUGAGAGGUCUCUGGUUCCAUAUCAGGACCAGGCG